RNAcentral lists this transfer RNA (133 nucleotides) under Candidatus Aenigmatarchaeota archaeon. RNAcentral describes it as "tRNA-Leu". It matches the Rfam family "tRNA". From Rfam's summary of the family: Transfer RNA (tRNA) molecules are approximately 80 nucleotides in length. Their secondary structure includes four short double-helical elements and three loops (D, anti-codon, and T loops). The record is from RNAcentral. Lineage: Archaea; Nanobdellati; Candidatus Aenigmatarchaeota.
GCAGGGGUACCCAAGUGGUCAAAGGGGCUAGGCUUAGGACCUAGUGGCUUAGUGCCUUCGGGGGUUCGAAAUCAGCUUUUUAGAAAAAAGCUGCACCAAAAAAUCAAAAGGGUCGGAAAUCCUCCCCCCUGCA